UACAAUUAAUCAAAUUUCAAUAUAAACUUUCUUCAGAACCCAGUACUUUGAAGCACCAUUGAUUAAGCUAACUUAGCAAAUGCAAAAGAAUCCAGAUACUAAAGGUAACACGAACUCUGAGAAGCCAUCUCGGAAACAAAUUUUGAUGUUCUCUUAAAAUAUGUUGAAUCAGUCUCUCUAACUAUAGGAAUCAUACGGCAUUUUUUAAGAUAAUUUCUUAAUUAACAAGCAAAGUAUAUAAAUGAAGAUAUUAUAAGAUCAAAAUUCUUAGAUGUACCAAAUGAUUUUUCUGAAACUUCCAGUCAGUUGAGAUAAAAAUAUAUUGUGGUGAAAACAUUCCGACAUAAUUGAAACAGUACUGGUAGUUUGUAUAUUAGAAACAUGUUUCUGGGAUUUAUCUACUGUAACUUGAAGCCCAUCUGUCGUCGCUUAAAAUAUCCCAUUGCAGUCAACUACAGCUGUGCUUACCAUAAAAAUAAGGUUCACCCACAGAUAUCGAGUUUACAAAUUUUCUUGCUUCUCCGGUUGGUUUGACAACGAUCUUCUACUAUCAAAAGUAUAUUAUCUAAAUUUUUCCUCUUCUUGUCUGUUUUAGAACGAUUCUAAACUAAAACUCCGGUUGUUGGUGGUUCGGGUCGGACGUGGCCUAAUGGUUAACGUGCCGUACUGUCAGUGUGAGAGUUCCGGUUCGCGUCCAAUUGCCAUAAAAACACUCCGCGCUUUGGGACCAUGGAUGUGAUUUCCCUUCUCGAGACUAAGAUUACUUCGGAUGACCUCUCUAACAUUAUUAUCUGUUCCAUUCUGACAUGCCUAAUCUCCUUUACCGUGUAAUACUCUAGCAGAGUGCUAAUUUUUUGGUAAACGAGUGGCGCCAAGGCGCCUAGUUCAACAAAUCUGACAAGUACCUGACGUCAUAAGCAAGUUGACCAAUAGAUUUAUACAUCUUAAACUGGAAAAGAGACAGUCGCCACAUCACCAUGGGGACCCCACAGAAGUCACGGAACUCUGCGGAGAGGGAUAUUUAGAGGCUAUAUAUAGCCUUUACACAGUUUACCGAACAUCAAAAGGAUAACCAUUGCUCUUUACAAUAUUAUAUAUAACUUUCAUCAAAGGGAGAAGAAGGGAAACUCGUUGGACCAUACAAGAUGAUCACUAAAUACAAAAAGAAUCCAAAUUUAACAAACUUUGAAACGGACUUCGAAAACUUAGAGAAGAAAAUCAGAAAAGUACGUUUGAUAAGAUCAAGUCUUGUGAAUGAAUAGCCCCAAAUGAAUUUGAUUACUGCUCCUGAAAUAAAAAGUAUUUGUAUGAAGGAAAAAUAUAUAAACAUACUUUACUGGUUAUAUAAAUCUGAACAAUAAAAACAGCAAAAGUACGGUUUAGUUUGUUUGAAGUAAUGAAGCCUUUGAGAUAACUGCAAGCCAAUGAACAGUGUACAAUAAUCAACUGUAUCUUCACACAUUUACUUUGGUUGAUAUUCAAUUCUUGACGUAACACGUGUAUCCACAUAGUUUCUUUUGCUCUUAAAUUUUUUUCACUUCAAGCACCCCCUAGAUACAGAUAGUAUUUCGUAUUGUAAUUGUUUUGUAAUAAACCGCGAAAUGAAAGUUAAA
Limulus polyphemus (Atlantic horseshoe crab) is the source of this 1613-nucleotide long non-coding RNA. RefSeq lists it as uncharacterized. The record is from RefSeq and is a predicted model, not a curated record. Lineage: Eukaryota; Metazoa; Arthropoda; Merostomata; Xiphosura; Limulidae. The transcript has 3 exons.